This 60-nucleotide transfer RNA is filed under the name Marcia japonica. RNAcentral describes it as "tRNA-Asp". The record is from RNAcentral. Lineage: Eukaryota; Metazoa; Mollusca; Bivalvia; Venerida; Veneridae.
AACAAAAUAGUUUAAUAAAUGUAAGAUUGUCAGUCUUAAGUUGCCUGUUGGCUUUUGUUU